AGUAUAAAUUUGACAACAUCCUGAAAAAUCUAAAAGUGCAAUUUUUUUCUUUAAAGAAUUUUCUCUGGCACCACAGAUCCUGUAGAUACCUAUUUAUAUUUAUACAUAUAUAUUUAUGAAAUAAUUCUUAUUCACAAAAUAUAUUUCUGAAUAGCCUAAAAAUUAAGAUACUAAAUCUGAUGCUUAAAUUUUCUUUAAUUUGGCUAUUACUGUUUUUUGUUUAAAACUUAAAACUUGCUUUUUAAAUUGUGUAUAGAUUUUAAUCUAAUAGUUGCUGGUAUAGAUUUGGACUGUGUGUGUGUGCUCUUAAGAAAACAGUUUUGAAUGUCUAAACAUUUGAUUUAAAGUUCCCUGUUUAUCUUUUUGACCAAAGGAGCAAGAGAUAUAAUGGAUAUGGCAUUCAUUAAAAUCAUUAAUAUAUAGGAAAAAUAAUAUUUAUAGCAUCAGCAAAUAUUUUUAAGUGGUAUAUGAUCUUGGACAAUGUUAUAUGAAGUAGAAAAUAAAAUGUUUUCCAGCUGUGUGUUUUGUUUUACAAUACCUUGUCCUAUAUUACUUGAGACUUUUAACAAGUAUUGUUUUUUUCUAACAUAUUUACAGUUUUUGCUAGGGGAAAUAUUAAGAAAAUUUUAUCACAGUUUUUUUGUAAAUCAUGGAUUCUGUAUAUAUCUCUAAUAUUACUUUGUAAAUUAGACAAACUAUUUUAUCUGUGUCUACAAAAUAGCAAAUCCCUGUUAGCAAAUUAUUGUAUUAUUCUUUCUGACAUUGCCCCCAAAAGGUUAACUUCUGUUCCUGAUAUGGUAUGACAUCGUCUCUGUGUUCCUUAGGCAAGACAGAUCUACAAAAAAACCAAACAGGUAAAAGCCCUAGAUAAAUAAAACUUAGAGGACUUGGAAUGACGAGAGGCAGUAUAGAGAUAUCUUUGGCUGCAGAAGCAGCAGCAGAUGUAAACACCUGUCAUGUGUGUCCCUGUGGUUUGUAUGCGUGGAUUAUUUGGGUUACUCAUUUGUUCCUUUUGUGGUGCUGGCUCAAACCUAGUACCAUGCACAUGUUAGGCAAGUGCCGUAAUGGUUGAACACACCCCUCAGUGGGUAAAGGGCUUGCCUCUGCCUGAUUUUGUUUCUUAAAGGAAACAGAUUCCCCCAGGACUGAAUGAGUGUGUGUGUGUGUGUGUGUGUGUGUGUGUGUGUGUGUGUGUGUGUGUUUCAAAGGGUCUUACAUUCCAGCAGACACAGGAUCACAGAUCUGUCUAAUGCCAAGUUCUGGUAGAAUAAAAUGGUACCAUGGUCAGAUUCUUCCCAGCUUUCCAUAUGCUGUUGGAGCAGUGACCUCCUCAUCCUUGUGCAGUGGGCACACCUCUGUAUUAAUUGUACACAUAUACAUUCUUAAUAUUCCUGUGCAUCUCUUGUGGAUUCUUUUUCUAGCAACAGCUUGUGCUUUGGAAGUGAAGGG
This 1449-nucleotide long non-coding RNA is filed under the name Mus musculus (house mouse). Its description in RNAcentral is "long non-coding RNA chr17:74499440-74500889". The record is from RNAcentral. Lineage: Eukaryota; Metazoa; Chordata; Mammalia; Rodentia; Muridae.